AACGAACGCUGGCGGCAGGCCUAACACAUGCAAGUCGAGCGAAGCCUUCGGGCUUAGCGGCGGACGGGUGAGUAACGCGUGGGAACGUGCCCUUUGGUACGGAAUAGACACGGGAAACUGGGAGUAAUACCGUAUGUGCCCUUCGGGGGAAAGAUUUAUCGCCAAAGGAUCGGCCCGCGUUGGAUUAGGUAGUUGGUGGGGUAAUGGCCUACCAAGCCGACGAUCCAUAGCUGGUUUGAGAGGAUGAUCAGCCACACUGGGACUGAGACACGGCCCAGACUCAUACGGGAGGCAGCAGUGGGGAAUCUUAGACAAUGGGGGAAACCCUGAUCUAGCCAUGCCGCGUGAUCGAUGAAGGCCUUAGGGUUGUAAAGAUCUUUCAGUGGGGAAGAUAAUGACUGUACCCACAGAAGAAGCCCCGGCUAACUCCGUGCCAGCAGCCGCAGUAA
Molecule: ribosomal RNA, 449 nt
Filed under: uncultured bacterium
Lineage: Bacteria
Description: partial 16S ribosomal RNA
Rfam family: Bacterial small subunit ribosomal RNA
Source: RNAcentral